Molecule: ribosomal RNA, 253 nt
Filed under: uncultured bacterium
Lineage: Bacteria
Description: partial 16S ribosomal RNA
Rfam family: Bacterial small subunit ribosomal RNA
Source: RNAcentral
UACGGAAGGGGCAAGCGUUGUUCGGAAUCAUUGGGCGUAAAGGGCGCGUAGGUGGUUCUGUAUGUCUACCGUGAAAGCGUACGGCUCAACCGUAUUAUGUCGGUGGAAACUGCAGGUCUUGAGGCUGGGAGGGGCUGGUGGAAUUCCCUGUGUAGCGGUGAAAUGCGUAGAGAUGGGGGAGAACACUCGUGGCGAAGGCGGCCAGCUAGACCAGUUCUGACACUGAGGCGCGACAGCGUGGGGAGCAAACAGG